Molecule: ribosomal RNA, 482 nt
Filed under: uncultured bacterium
Lineage: Bacteria
Description: partial 16S ribosomal RNA
Rfam family: Bacterial small subunit ribosomal RNA
Source: RNAcentral
AUUGAACGCUGGCGGCAUGCUUUACACAUGCAAGUCGAACGGUAACAGCACUUCGGUGGCUGACGAGUGGCGAACGGGUGCGUAAUACAUCGGAACGUGCCUAGUAGUGGGGGAUAACUACUCGAAAGAGUAGCUAAUACCGCAUAAGAUCUAAGGAUGACAGCAGGGGACCUUCGGGCCUUGCGCUACUAGAGCGGCUGAUGGCAGAUUAGGUAGUUGGUGGGAUAAAAGCUCACCAAGCCGACGAUCUGUAGCUGGUCUGAGAGGACGACCAGCCACACUGGGACUGAGACACGGCCCAGACUCCUACGGGAGGCAGCAGUGGGGAAUUUUGGACAAUGGGCGCAAGCCUGAUCCAGCAAUGCCGCGUGCAGGAUGAAGGCCUUCGGGUUGUAAACUGCUUUUGUACGGAAAGAAAAGCCCUCGUCUAAUACAGGAGGGUCAUGACGGUACCGAAAGAAUAAGCACCGGCUAACUACGUG